UUCCGAUAUAUGAGAGAGAGGUCCGAGAAAGAGUAGGACCUAAUUUGGGAAAAGCCGUUGAGAAUCCUUAUUUCUUAUUUUAAAUCACAGAACACAAAGAGGAAAUCCUUGGUCUGUUUUCUGUGGCAAAAAGAGGAUAUUAAGAAGGUCCCCUUGCAAAAUCUGCUAAGUUUCGAUGCCGUAAGUUGCGUACAUUUAUCAAUAAGUGUUAUAUGUUAUGCCUUCAGUUUUUUGCAGGGAAAAUAUGCUUUGCAGUGCAACAUUCUUUUUGUUUACAUUUUGUGGGAAGCCUCUCCACCAGACACUUGAUCUGCCACUCUCAUAUAGGACAAUCUUUUUGGGCCCCAGAGAAGAACUGUAAGAAUCAUGGUGGGUCUGAGGUACAGGUAAAACUGUAGGCAUGUGUAUAUAAAAAGUUGAUGACUGAGACCUGUAGUUUUUCAUAACUUAUGAAGAUAUAAGGUAGUAUGAACCUAGUCAAACAGAUGUUGUGAAGAUAUCUAAACUAGGCUAAACACACUCCUGAGAGGAUAAAAAUAGAUGCCCGAGGCAACAUAAGGCAAAGAAGAUUAAAUAGGCAGUGUAGGAGAAAAUCUAAGCCUUCAUCAGAAGCAGAACACUGUUUUGUAGAGGCACCUAUUUCUCUAGAGACUUGCGAAAUAGAUACCUUGGGUUUUGCGGAGCUUUCCUUUUCAACAUAAUUUUGGCAGAGAACUUUGACUGCAACUAAAGUGUCAAAAAAUACUUUGCAAAAAUUGUGCAAGAACGUACAAAAGUCGAAUGGCAAGGACCGGGCUCUUCUUUUUCAACGCCUAAAAAAACAAAAACCAACCAAAAAUAAAGAAAAGCAAAUUGGAUAAUAUCUUGCCACAUCAGAUAAAAGAUAUUAGAGAAAUUGUUUACAAUUUUUAUGUAAUGGAGAAGAAAUUAGUCACGCCCAAAGUAAAGGAUGGUAUGAUGAUACUUCUAAAGGCAUAAAACGGCCAAUUUCAAAAGGCCAACGAUUAAUUAUAAUACAUGCUGGUGGAGAAAGAGGAUUCGUUAACAACGGAUUACUUAUAUUCAAAUCAGGUACUUUUAGUUGCUUUUUGGGUCAUACAUGUAUUUUCGUAUAAAAUAAUAAUUAUAUUUUACUCUUUACUUAGCUGUUGUUACAGGUACAGAAACUGGGGACUAUCACAAAGAUAUGAACGAUAAUCACGAUAAUUUGAUGACCUGGGUUAAAAAGCAAUUACUGCCGAAUUUACCUGUAAGGUCUGUCCUCAUUGUGGACAAUGCUGCAUAUCAUAAUGUCCCUACACAAAAGAAUAUCACAACGGCUUCUAGGAAUGACGAAAUUAAGUCUGGUUGAAUGAAAAUACCAGUGGAUUCCACAAAAACUAAGCCACAGCUCUAUAAUAUUAUCAAAGAAAAUAAAUUUCGUUUUCCGACCAAAUACAAGUUGGAUGACCUGCUAGAGCAACAUGGACACUGUGUGUUACGCUUGCCUCCUUAUCACCCUGAACUAAAUCCCAUUGAAAAAAUAUGGGCUUUAGUUAAAAACUGGGUAGCAGCUCAUAAUACUACAUUCAAACUAGCAGAUACCGAAGCACUGGCAAGGCAAAAAAUCUGUGGAUAAACUAUGUUUUAUAGUAAAUACGGGUUGAUCAUCAGAGCAAAGUGACUACACAGACAGCGGGAGUGACGAAGAUGAAUCGGAAGAUGAUUUAGGAUGCUCGCCUCUUCAGUCGUCUGCAGUAGAAUAAAUAAUAAAGCUAAAAUUUAUUUAAAUAAAUGGCGUUUUACAAAAUUGGAAUG
Molecule: long non-coding RNA, 1797 nt
Organism: Anthonomus grandis grandis
Lineage: Eukaryota; Metazoa; Arthropoda; Insecta; Coleoptera; Curculionidae
Exons: 5
Source: RefSeq, a predicted model, not a curated record